GACGAACGCUGGCGGCGUGCUUAACACAUGCAAGUCGAACGGAAAGGCCCUGCUUUUGUGGGGUGCUCGAGUGGCGAACGGGUGAGUAACACGUGAGUAACCUGCCCUUGACUUUGGGAUAACUUCAGGAAACUGGGGCUAAUACCGGAUAGGAGCUCCUGCUGCAUGGUGGGGGUUGGAAAGUUUCGGCGGUUGGGGAUGGACUCGCGGCUUAUCAGCUUGUUGGUGGGGUAGUGGCUUACCAAGGCUUUGACGGGUAGCCGGCCUGAGAGGGUGACCGGCCACAUUGGGAUUGAGAUACGGCCAGGACUGCUGCGGGGGGCAGCGGUGGGGAAUAGUGCGCGAUGGGCGGAAGCCUGGUGCAGCAACGCCGCGUGCGGGAUGACGGCCUUCGGGUUGUAAACCGCUUUCGCCUGUGACGAACCGUGAGUGACGGUAAUGGGUAAAGAAGCACCGGCUAACUACGUG
RNAcentral lists this ribosomal RNA (468 nucleotides) under uncultured bacterium. RNAcentral's name for it is "partial 16S ribosomal RNA". It matches the Rfam family "Bacterial small subunit ribosomal RNA", at positions 28 to 507 of the family's 1533-position model. The record is from RNAcentral.